This 819-nucleotide ribosomal RNA is filed under the name uncultured Nitrospirota bacterium. RNAcentral describes it as "bacterial SSU rRNA". It matches the Rfam family "Bacterial small subunit ribosomal RNA", at positions 602 to 1418 of the family's 1533-position model. The record is from RNAcentral. Lineage: Bacteria; Pseudomonadati; Nitrospirota.
CUAAGGCUUAACCAUAGAAUUGCCUCAGAAACUGUUUCGCUUGAGUCAGUGAGGGGAGGGCGGAAUUCCUGGUGUAGCGGUGAAAUGCGUAGAUAUCAGGAGGAAGGCCGGUAGCGAAGGCGGCCCUCUGGCACUGAACUGACGCUGAGGCGCGAAAGCGUGGGUAGCAAACAGGAUUAGAUACCCUGGUAGUCCACGCCCUAAACGGUGGGCAUUAGGUGUAGGGCUCGUAAGGGUUCUGUGCCGAAGGGAAACCAUUAAAUGCCCCGCCUGGGGAAUACGGCCGCAAGGUUGAAACUCAAAGGAAUUGACGGGGGCCCGCACAAGCGGUGGAGCAUGUGGUUUAAUUCGACGCUACGCGAAGAACCUUACCUGGGUUUGACAUGUUAGUAGUAAAAACCUGAAAAGGGGCUGACCCUGAGGUAACUCAGGGAGCUAACACAGGUGCUGCAUGGCUGUCGUCAGCUCGUGCCGUGAGGUGUUGGGUUAAGUCCCGCAACGAGCGCAACCCUUAUCCUCUGCUGGUCGUAAACGAUCUCUCUGGGGAAACUGCCGGCGAUGAGCUGGAGGAAGGUGGGGAUGACGUCAAGUCAGCAUGGCCCUUAUGUCCAGGGCGACACACGUGCUACAAUGGCUGCUACAGAGGGAUGCAAUACCGUGAGGUGGAGCCAAUCCUUAAAAGCAGUCUCAGUGGGGAUCGGAGUCUGCAAUUCGACUCCGUGAACGCGGAAUCGCUAGUAAUCAUGGAUCAGCCAUGCCAUGGUGAAUACGUUCCCGGGCCUUGUACACACCGCCCGUCACACCACGAAAGCCUGUUGU